This 514-nucleotide long non-coding RNA is filed under the name Mytilus galloprovincialis (Mediterranean mussel). The record is from RNAcentral. Lineage: Eukaryota; Metazoa; Mollusca; Bivalvia; Mytilida; Mytilidae.
GAUUUCGUCUUCGCCGUUUUACUAAACAUGCAGCUUUUUAGUAACUACUGCCAAACAUCACUAUACUGCAUAUAAGAUAUAUACAUGUACCCCCCCCUCCCCCCGGAAAAAAAGAAAAAAAAACAACAACAACCAGUACAUCAUUAGAACCCCAAUUUAUUCAUCGUGGAAAUAUUGCGCUUAAAAAGAGGGGCAAGGGGCAAAAGAUAGCAGAUAUCAGAGGGACAUUCAAACUCAUAAAUCGAAAAUAAACUGACAUCGCCAUGGAUAAAAAAGAAAUAGAUAAACAGACAAAAAAUAGUUCACAGAACACAACAUAGGAAACAAGGACUGAGCAACACAAACCCCACCAAAAACUUGGGUGAUCUCAAGUGUUCCGGAAGGGAAAGCAUAUCCUGUUCCACAUGUGGCACCCGUUGUGUUCUCAUAUUACCCAUAAUACCAAUUUGAUUUGAUAGCUUUGUUUUAAUUUCUGUUUCAGACGCGAAUUAUUCAGUUUUUGGUUAAAAUGCAC